Zingiber officinale is the source of this 1573-nucleotide long non-coding RNA. RefSeq lists it as uncharacterized. The record is from RefSeq and is a predicted model, not a curated record. The transcript has 2 exons. Lineage: Eukaryota; Viridiplantae; Streptophyta; Magnoliopsida; Zingiberales; Zingiberaceae.
UUGAGAAACAGAUCUAGGGUUUAAUCAAACUUCCCUGAGUUAUAAAGGGAGAAUUUCCCUUACCCUAACUCCCCACACGGCGCCGAGCUCCCUCUUCUCUCCCGAGCCCUCACGACACCGCCUCCCUCUCCUUCGCCGAGCUCAGCCGGCCUCUUCUCUGACCCGCGCACGAGCACCACGCGGGAGCCGGCCUCUUCUUCCCUCACGCGAGUUGCACGGCCGGCGAUCUCCUCUUUUCUGCGAGCACCUAGUAGCCGUCCACCCUCGCGUGAGCACCACACAACCGGCCCUUUCCCGCACGCGAACACCCCAGCGUCGCCUUUCUUGUGCCCUAGCGUCGACCGACUUCUUCCUGUCCUAGCGUCGGCAACCGGAUUUCUUCCACCUCCGGCCCCUACAAGAGCUGUCCAGCAAACAAAUUUCCUUUGUAACUAUGAGAUGAAUGUUUCUUUCCGUAGAUUACGAUACAAUCCGGGAUGAUGUCUAGGGCAUCAAGGUAGUUGUUUUCCAUCUUGUUCCUCUUAUGCCUGCUGUGGAUUUAGGUAAAGUCAUUUGGUUUUGAUGGAGUUCUAGAUCCCUCAAACUAGUUGUAAUAUGGUGGACAGAUUUUGGCAUAGGGUAGUUGUGACAUGGUUGCCUUUGAUGGGUUUGUCCUUCUUGCGAUCCUUUUUGGUUCCAUGGAUUUGGGGCUUUUGAUUGAAUUUGAUGUGCUUCAUUCUUCUCACUAGUUGGGUUUCGGUUAAUUCUUGUUGUAGAAGUUUUAAGCCUUGAUCGAUGAUGCUUUUGAAUUUGGGUGAAAUUGUUCCCAAUCUGUUCUAUGGAAUAGAGUUUGUAAAAGAAGUCUUACUAUCUUGUGGAAUCCAUUUUGGGGUAUGUUCUCGUGAUGUUAUGGGGUUUAAGUUUGUUGAAUUCUAGUUUUGGGAAUUUUUAUGCAGCUUUUGGUGUUCCUGUUAAUGGAUUUGUUAUGAAGUUCUGUUGUAUGCUAGUUAGGAGUCUUUUGAUAUUAAGGAUUUGGUUAGUGGUUUGGUUAGUUUAUUUCCAAUUGAAACUGUUUCCUUACGGGAUCUCAACGUUUAUGGCAAAACACAUCUUGACUUAUGAAGUAGGAUAUGUCUAGGACAACACAACUAAAUGGUGAUACGCGAUUUUGUUUUUAGUAAAUUAGGGUUUUCCCUAAUCAGAUUCAGGUUAUGGGUUAGCCACCCAAUUCAUGAUGGGUUUAGUUAACUAGUUCAUGUUUGACAUAGCUAUAAUAUGCAUCACGUGUUUGCAGGAUUUUGAUUCGAUACGGGUGAUUUAACAUUGGGUUGGUCUGGCACGAGCUUCGCAAUAAAGGCGGGUAACAGGUAGAUGAGUCAUGGAUGCUUGGAGAGUCCCGGCUGCCAGUCCUAAGUCACACUCGAGGAUAGCUUUCUUUUUGGUUUUGUUAUUGUUUUGGGUGGUAGGUUGAUUUUGUGUAUUUUGCUUUUCAAUAAGUCGAUGUAAAUUUUGGAUUCAAGUCUGGUGAUUGCCGGUAUUUUUGUUGGUGUUGUUGUUGGUCUUCCGUUCGUAUUAUGUUUUGUGUUUUCCGCUG